CAGCCGCCGCGGGAAUACGUAGGGUGCGAGCGUUGUCCGGAAUUACUGGGCGUAAAGAGCUCGUAGGCGGUUUGUCGCGUCGUCUGUGAAAUUCUGCAGCUUAACUGUAGGCGUGCAGGCGAUACGGGCAGACUUGAGUACUACAGGGGAGACUGGAAUUCCUGGUGUAGCGGUGAAAUGCGCAGAUAUCAGGAGGAACACCGGUGGCGAAGGCGGGUCUCUGGGUAGUAACUGACGCUGAGGAGCGAAAGCAUGGGGAGCAAACAGGAUUAGAUACCCCGGUAGUCCCUGUCUCUUAUAC
This 301-nucleotide ribosomal RNA is filed under the name uncultured bacterium. RNAcentral's name for it is "partial 16S ribosomal RNA". It matches the Rfam family "Bacterial small subunit ribosomal RNA", at positions 509 to 807 of the family's 1533-position model. The record is from RNAcentral.